UACGUAGGUGGCAAGCGUUACUCGGAAUCACUAGGUGUAAAGCGCAGGUAGGAGGUUGGAUAAGUCUGUUGUGAAAGCUCCCGGCUUAACUGGGAGAGGCCAACGGAAACUAUUCGGCUGGAGUGCGGUAGAGGUAGCUGGAAUUCCCGGUGUAGCGGUGAAAUGCGUAGAUAUCGGGAGGAAUACCUAUGGCGAAAGCGGCUCACUGGACCAUAACUGACGCUGAUGCACGAAAGCUGGGGGAGCAAACAGG
This 253-nucleotide ribosomal RNA is filed under the name uncultured bacterium. Its description in RNAcentral is "partial 16S ribosomal RNA". It matches the Rfam family "Bacterial small subunit ribosomal RNA", at positions 524 to 776 of the family's 1533-position model. The record is from RNAcentral.